GACGAACGCUGGCGGCGUGCCUAAUACAUGCAAGUUGAGCGCUGAAGGUUGGUACUUGUACCGACUGGAUGAGCAGCGAACGGGUGAGUAACGCGUGGGGAAUCUGCCUUUGAGCGGGGGACAACAUUUGGAAACGAAUGCUAAUACCGCAUAAAAACUUUAAACACAAGUUUUAAGUUUGAAAGAUGCAAUUGCAUCACUCAAAGAUGAUCCCGCGUUGUAUUAGCUAGUUGGUGAGGUAAAGGCUCACCAAGGCGAUGAUACAUAGCCGACCUGAGAGGGUGAUCGGCCACAUUGGGACUGAGACACGGCCCAAACGCCUACGGGAGGCAGCAGGAGGGAAUCUUCGGCAAGGGACGAAAGUCUGACCGAGCAACGCCGCGGGAGGGAAGAAGGUUUUCGGAUCGGAAAACUCUGUUGGUAGAGAAGAACGUUGGUGAGAGUGGAAAGCUCAUCAAGUGACGGUAACUACCCAGAAAGGGACGGCUAACUACGUG
Molecule: ribosomal RNA, 497 nt
Filed under: uncultured bacterium
Lineage: Bacteria
Description: partial 16S ribosomal RNA
Rfam family: Bacterial small subunit ribosomal RNA
Source: RNAcentral